UACAGAGGUCUCAAGCGUUGUUCGGAUUCAUUGGGCGUAAAGGGUGUGUAGGUGGCGCCGUAAGUCGGGUGUGAAAUUUCGGAGCUUAACUCCGAAACUGCAUUCGAUACUGCGGUGCUUGAGGACUGGAGAGGAGACUGGAAUUCAUGGUGUAGCAGUGAAAUGCGUAGAGAUCGGGAAGAACACUAGUGGCGAAGGCGGCGUUCUGGGCUGCAACUGACGCUGAGAUGCGAAAGUGUGGGGAGCAAACGGG
RNAcentral lists this ribosomal RNA (253 nucleotides) under uncultured bacterium. Its description in RNAcentral is "partial 16S ribosomal RNA". It matches the Rfam family "Bacterial small subunit ribosomal RNA", at positions 524 to 776 of the family's 1533-position model. The record is from RNAcentral.